GGACCUAUGGCGCAGUGGUAGCGCGUAAGUAAUCCCUUAUGUCCUCUAAUUUCAAAUUCUAACACUACCCCAGAUCUGAUUCCAGAGUUGAGUUUCCAGAAGGUCAUCCGUUCGAAUCGGGUUAGGUUCA
Molecule: non-coding RNA, 130 nt
Organism: Phaeosphaeriaceae sp. PMI808
Lineage: Eukaryota; Fungi; Ascomycota; Dothideomycetes; Pleosporales; Phaeosphaeriaceae
Source: the annotation of a GenBank genome assembly